This 449-nucleotide ribosomal RNA is filed under the name uncultured bacterium. Its description in RNAcentral is "bacterial SSU rRNA". It matches the Rfam family "Bacterial small subunit ribosomal RNA", at positions 354 to 796 of the family's 1533-position model. The record is from RNAcentral.
GUGGGGAAUCUUGCGCAAUGGACGAAAGUCUGACGCAGCGACGCCGCGUGAGUGAUGAAGGCCUUCGGGUUGUAAAGCUCUGUGGGGAGGGACGAAUAAGUGCUGGCUAAUAUCCAGCGCGAUGACGGUACCUCCUUAGCAAGCACCGGCUAACUCUGUGCCAGCAGCCGCGGUAAGACAGAGGGUGCAAACGUUGUUCGGAAUUACUGGGCGUAAAGCGUGUGUAGGCUGCCGCGUAAGUCGGGUGUGAAAGCCCCGGGCUCAACCCGGGAAGUGCACUCGAUACUGCGUGGCUAGAGUACUGGAGAGGUUGGUGGAAUUCUCGGUGUAGAGGUGAAAUUCGUAGAUAUCGAGAGGAACACCGGUGGCGAAGGCGGCCAACUGGACAGAUACUGACGCUGAGACACGAAAGCGUGGGGAGCAAACAGGAUUAGAAACCCGAGUAGUCC